This 95-nucleotide transfer RNA is filed under the name Bacillota bacterium. RNAcentral describes it as "tRNA-Lys". Lineage: Bacteria; Bacillati; Bacillota. The record is from RNAcentral.
GGGGGAAUAGAAGCCACGAGAGAAUACGGUGUAAACAUACCGUCCGCUGACUCUUAAUCAGUGGGUCCACAGUUCGAAUCUGUGCGCGCCCACCA